RNAcentral lists this ribosomal RNA (557 nucleotides) under uncultured Laccaria. RNAcentral's name for it is "eukaryotic LSU rRNA". The stretch from base 246 to 399 matches the Rfam family "5.8S ribosomal RNA". Lineage: Eukaryota; Fungi; Basidiomycota; Agaricomycetes; Agaricales; Tricholomataceae. The record is from RNAcentral.
UGCGGAAGGAUCAUUAUUGAAUAAACCUGAUGUGACUGUUAGCUGGCUUUUCGAAGCAUGUGCUCGUCCAUCAUCUUUAAUCUCUCCACCUGUGCACAUUUUGUAGUCUUGGAUACCUCUCGAGGCAACUCGGAUUUUAGGAUCGCCAUCGGCUUUUCUUUCAUUUUCAAGACUAUGUUUUUAUAUACACCAAAGUAUGUUUAAAGAAUGUCAUCAAUAGGAACUUGUUUCCUAUAAAAUUAUACAACUUUCAGCAACGGAUCUCUUGGCUCUCGCAUCGAUGAAGAACGCAGCGAAAUGCGAUAAGUAAUGUGAAUUGCAGAAUUCAGUGAAUCAUCGAAUCUUUGAACGCACCUUGCGCUCCUUGGUAUUCCGAGGAGCAUGCCUGUUUGAGUGUCAUUAAAUUCUCAACCUUCCAACUUUUAUUAGCUUGGUUAGGCUUGGAUGUGGGGGUUGCGGGCUUCAUCACGAAGUCGGCUCUCCUUAAAUGCAUUAGCGGAACUUUUGUGGACCGUCUAUUGGUGUGAUAAUUAUCUACGCCGUGGAUGUGAAGCAGC